ACGACCUUACUUGAACAGGAUCUGUUCUAUAGGCUCGUACCUCUGUAUCCUUGAGUUCUAAGGAGACAGGAACUAAAGUCUGGUGGAUGAACCAUGACCCUGUGAUCAGAGCGUGAUUAACGGUCUGGUGUCCCUUCUCUCAGGAGAAGAUACAUCCUUAGCUGUAGAGGAUCGUUCCCAGUCAUUAUGUUUGGGAUGGUCACAGGGUUGUCUGACAGACU
RNAcentral lists this small nucleolar RNA (221 nucleotides) under Phaseolus vulgaris (common bean). RNAcentral describes it as "snoRNA Plant_U3". It matches the Rfam family "Plant small nucleolar RNA U3". Rfam says of the family: Small nucleolar RNAs (snoRNAs) are involved in the processing and modification of rRNA in the nucleolus. There are two main classes of snoRNAs: the box C/D class, and the box H/ACA class. U3 snoRNA is a member of the box C/D class. The record is from Rfam by way of RNAcentral. Lineage: Eukaryota; Viridiplantae; Streptophyta; Magnoliopsida; Fabales; Fabaceae.